This 440-nucleotide ribosomal RNA is filed under the name uncultured bacterium. RNAcentral describes it as "partial 16S ribosomal RNA". It matches the Rfam family "Bacterial small subunit ribosomal RNA", at positions 338 to 795 of the family's 1533-position model. The record is from RNAcentral.
CCUACGGGAGGCUGCAGUCGGGAAUAUUGCUCAAUGGGGGAAACCCUGAUGCUGCAACGCCGCGUGGGGGAUGAAGGUUUUCGGAUUUUAAAAUCCUUUUGUUAGAGAAGAUAAUGACGUUCUCUAACGCAUAAGAACCGGCUAACUCCGUGCCAGCAGCCGCGGUAAUACGGAGGGUGCAAGCGUUACUCGGAAUCACGGGGAGUAAAGAGCGCGUAGGCGGGAUAGCAAGUCAGAUGUGAAAUCCGAUGGCUUAACCAGAGAACGGCAUUUGACACGGUUAGUCUAGAGUAUGGGAGAGGUAGGUGGAAUUCUUGGUGUAGGGGGAAAAUCCGUAGAGAUCAAGAGGAAUACUCAGUGCGAAGGCGACCUGCUAGAACAUAACUGACGCUGAUGCGCGAAAGCGUGGGGAGCAAACAGGAUUAGAUACCCGAGUAGUC